AUUUAAGUAGCUUAUAAUUAGAGCUGGAUAUUGAAGAUGUCAAGGAGGUGAAUCACCCUUAAAUA
Molecule: transfer RNA, 65 nt
Filed under: Ducetia japonica
Lineage: Eukaryota; Metazoa; Arthropoda; Insecta; Orthoptera; Tettigoniidae
Description: tRNA-Phe
Source: RNAcentral